UGAAUCUAAAUUUGAAAGGAAAGUAGGAGAAAGAAAAAUUUCAUGAAAAAUCUAAAAAAAGCGACCGUGAGGGAAUUUAACGGGCCAACAAUCGGUCAAUCGAGAAUACCCUAACAUCAGAAAAACAGAAGAAGAAGAAAAGCAAGAAAGAAAGUCAUUGUUAAAUCUGAGGGUAAAGCCCAGACCGUUACAAACCCAACCCAAAACACACAAACUCUCAACGGCUAAGCUAACCCAACACCAGACCAAUCACAGUCCUCCUCUAAAAUGGCAGCAGCGCUCUCCUCUCACCACCACCACCACCACCACCACCUCACCCUCUUCAGAAAACCCUCACUCUAUCACCUCAACAAACCCCUCCGUUCCAAACGCAUCACUUCCUCCUUAGAAUUCAACAUCACUUUCGCCCCUCCUAAACCGAAAUUCCAAUUUCCCCGCCAACCUCCGAAGCGACCCCGCUUCCCUCUCUCUCUCUCCCUCCAGGCCAUCUCUUCAUUCCCUGGAUAAUCCGAGGAGAAGAUGGAAACCUCAAGCUCCAUUCUCACCCUCCGGAGCGUUCCCUCCACGCUCUCAUUGAUGCCAAAACACAACCAAAGAAAAAGAUAGAGGAGGUGAGGAAGGGGAGUGGUGGAAAUGCGAAGACCAAGCUGGAAGUGGAGCCUAGGCGUUAUAAGGCGGCGCGUAGGUUCUACAAUGAGAAUUUUAAAGACCAAGCACAGCCGUUAAGUAAAGUUCUCGCCGCUGCUGGAGUGGCGAGGAGCAGUGAAGAGUUGAUUUUUGAAGAUGGUCCUGCAUACAAUACUCCACGGACUCGAGUUGUUCCUGGGAGGGAUGUUAUAUAUGUUAACUGAAAUCGGCUUAUUUGAUGAUUAGUUUAAGAGUUGGGCAGGACUAGCGAAAUCCAGGACUACCUAAACCACGAUUAUUUACUGUUGGACGACUUGAUGUUGCCACAAAUGGGUUAGUUAUUGUGACCAAUGAUGAUAUAUUGCAACAAUUGAUGGUGCAGUAAGUAAGCGGUUUGCCAUCAGUGAAGGAACAGUCAUUGACAGUGUCCCUUGCACUCCAGAUUCCGUGGAGUUGUUACCACAACAACCAGGUUCAUGAAGGGAGGAACCAUGAGAUUUGAGAACUAGUAAAAAAUGCUGGGCUUGAGGUUGGUUUUAGUUUUUGAUGACACCCUUAUAACAUUGAGAGAAAAAAGAAAAAGAAAAAAACAGAUACUGACACUGUAUCAUCAGCACUGGUAUCUGCAUCCUAAACCAAUCAUAUCCUGUGAGGUCAUGUUGGGGAUUUAGUGACAUAUUUAUCGCUUCAAAAUCUUAAGUGCGGAUUUAAAUGAUAAACAUUCUGUCUUCUUGCAUGCUUUUAUCUUAAGAACUCACCAGGGACAAUGUCAGUAAACAGUUUAAGUAGCACUCAUCGAAUGUUUAUUAUUAAUAGCAACUUCAUGCUUGUCUUGUUUAUGAUAUGUUACUGCUCAUUGGUGUUUACAUCGGAUAUUUCUCCAUUAUUUAUUUUAUCAUUUUUGUUUUCAGAUUCAUGCAUUGAAUAUUACCCACAUUGGUGGUUUCAGACUCCCAUCAGACCUCGGUAAUUACCUCUGAUAUUUUUGCUGUUUUUUAGAACAUUUUUAAGAUUCUCUCUCAUCUUUAUUACUCAAAUCAAAAUUUUCAAAUUGCUAAAAUCAGAAGAAAGAAAAACAGAGCCUGUCUCCCUUGUUAGUUGCAGUAACUUAAGCAGACUCAAUGUAGAUACGGAGAACAUAAAAAAAGAAAUUAGAAUUAAACAUUUGAUACAUACGAGAUAGAUGUUCUGUAAUAAAUGGUGGGUGCCAGCCACAAAUUUACUCUCCUCCCCUGGGAAAGGGCUCACCAGUGUUGCUCAUGGUGAUUGAGGGAGUGUGCGUUUUUUAAAAUGGACUGGCCUUUAAAUUGAAGGGGUUGGUUUAUCCUACUGCCAGAAGAAGCAGGCGAGCUAUGUUGGGGAAGCUGCAUUGCUAGUAUUAAAACAGAAAUGCAUCCAUUCAAAUCUGGAAAUUUCCUGGUUGCAAGGAGCACCUGUCUGCAUAUGAAGGAAAUGUAAUUGUGAGCGAAGAGCCUACAUGUAUUUUUUCAUGAAAUCAAAAUAUUCGCUUGUCAUAUAGAUCAAAGAUGGAUAAAAAGCAGCCUUACUUUUAAGACAGCUAAGGUAGACGCAAAUGUAGGCUGUCGGUCAUCUAGUUGGGCAUCCCGUGCUAGGUUUCAUUCGUUAACACCGAGAGAGAAACAGACAAGGUCCGUCCGGCAACUCCUGUUGCAAUUCUCCUGUGUCUGUUCUUUUCAAUAGUUUUACGUACAGCCUAGCCCGAUGAGCUCGUGUGCUUGCAUGUGCUCAACAAUUGUAGGGUCUCACUUCACAUGCUAUUGAUCCGUGAAUAAAUUCUCAUGUUUCGAUCUGUUGAUUGAUUA
Molecule: long non-coding RNA, 2450 nt
Organism: Populus euphratica (Euphrates poplar)
Lineage: Eukaryota; Viridiplantae; Streptophyta; Magnoliopsida; Malpighiales; Salicaceae
Exons: 8
Source: RefSeq, a predicted model, not a curated record